RNAcentral lists this ribosomal RNA (433 nucleotides) under uncultured bacterium. Its description in RNAcentral is "partial 16S ribosomal RNA". It matches the Rfam family "Bacterial small subunit ribosomal RNA", at positions 29 to 507 of the family's 1533-position model. The record is from RNAcentral.
AACGAACGCUGGCGGCAUGCCUAACACAUGCAAGUCGAACGAGACCUUCGGGUCUAGUGGCGCACGGGUGCGUAACGCGUGGGAACCUGCCCUUAGGUUCGGAAUAACUCCCCGAAAUGGGUGCUAAUACCGGAUAAUGUCUUCGGACCAAAGAUUUAUCGCCUUUGGAUGGGCCCGCGUUGGAUUAGCUAGUUGGUAGGGUAAAAGCCUACCAAGGCGACGAUCCAUAGCUGGUCUGAGAGGAUGAUCAGCCACACUGGGACUGAGACACGGCCCAGACUCCUACGGGAGGCAGCAGUGGGGAAUAUUGGAAAAUGGGCGAAAGCCUGAUCCAGCAAUGCCGCGUGAGUGAUGAAGGCCUUAGGGUUGUAAAGCUCUUUUACCCGGGAUGAUAAUGACAGUACCGGGAGAAUAAGCUCCGGCUAACUCCGUG